AUUGAACGCUGGCGGCAUGCCUAACACAUGCAAGUCGAACGGCAGCACGGCAGUAGCAAUACUGUGGGUGGCGAGUGGCGGACGGGUGAGGAAUACGUCGGAAUCUGCCCAGUCGUGGGGGAUAACUAGCCGAAGGUUAGCUAAUACCGCAUACGACCGAGAGGUGAAAGCGGGGGACCGCAAGGCCUCGCGCGAUUGGAUGAGCCGACGUCGGAUUAGCUAGUUGGUGGGGUAAAGGCCCACCAAGGCGACGAUCCGUAGCUGGUCUGAGAGGAUGAUCAGCCACACUGGAACUGAGACACGGUCCAGACUCCUACGGGAGGCAGCAGUGGGGAAUAUUGGACAAUGGGCGCAAGCCUGAUCCAGCAAUGCCGCGUGUGUGAAG
Molecule: ribosomal RNA, 385 nt
Filed under: uncultured bacterium
Lineage: Bacteria
Description: bacterial SSU rRNA
Rfam family: Bacterial small subunit ribosomal RNA
Source: RNAcentral